Pelobates cultripes (western spadefoot toad) is the source of this 294-nucleotide non-coding RNA. The record is from the annotation of a GenBank genome assembly. Lineage: Eukaryota; Metazoa; Chordata; Amphibia; Anura; Pelobatidae.
AGAGGUGGUAACAGGGGGCUGGGUUAGGGCGGUGAGGGCAGAGAUUAUGGACGGCAAAUCGGCCGCGGGAGGGAGGGAUAACGAGGUAGAGGGGGCCGGGACUUCGGGAGGAGGAGGUAACACUGGAGGAGAGGUGGUAACAGGGGGCUGGGUUAGGGCGGUGAGGGCAGAGAUUAGGGACGGCAAAUCGGCCGCGGGAGGGAGGGAUAACGAGGUAGAGGGGGCUGGGACUUCGGGAGGAGGAGGUAACACUGGAGGAGAGGUGGUAACAGGGGGCUGGGUUAGGGCGGUGAG